Molecule: ribosomal RNA, 253 nt
Filed under: uncultured bacterium
Lineage: Bacteria
Description: partial 16S ribosomal RNA
Rfam family: Bacterial small subunit ribosomal RNA
Source: RNAcentral
UACAGAGGUCCCAAGCGUUGUUCGGAAUCAUUGGGCGUAAAGGGUGCGUAGGUGGCGAGGUAAGUCGGAUGUGAAAUCUCAGGGCUCAACCCUGAAACUGCAUUCGAUACUGCCUUGCUCGAGGACUGGAGAGGAGAUUGGAAUUCACGGUGUAGCAGUGAAAUGCGUAGAUAUCGUGAGGAAGACCAGUGGCGAAGGCGGAUCUCUGGACAGUUCCUGACACUGAGGCACGAAGGCCAGGGGAGCAAACGGG